RNAcentral lists this transfer RNA (87 nucleotides) under Bifidobacterium adolescentis. Its description in RNAcentral is "tRNA-Leu". It matches the Rfam family "tRNA". Rfam says of the family: Transfer RNA (tRNA) molecules are approximately 80 nucleotides in length. Lineage: Bacteria; Bacillati; Actinomycetota; Actinomycetes; Bifidobacteriales; Bifidobacteriaceae. The record is from RNAcentral.
GCUUUGGUGGCGGAAUUGGUAUACGCGGUUGCCUCAAAAGCAACUGUCCGAAAGGACGUGAGGGUUCGAUUCCCUCUCAAAGCACGA